GCAGGAGGCUGCUGGGCCGCGCGCGGGCUGCCGCUGGGGAAGGAACCCCAAGGUGUCCUCCGCGGCUCGUCUGUCACCCGCGCGGACUGGGGCGCCAGGGCCAUGGGCGCGCUCCCCUGAGGCGGAGGUCGCGGGCAGGAGGGUAGGAGGCCCGCGAGAGGCUGCUGCGGAAGCCGCGGGCCCGUGACUGGGCGUCACCACCACCACCACCACCAUGUCGCGCUUGGUUUUAAAAAAAACAUGGGACUUCUGUAAAUUCAAUAAUCCUCAUUGUCACCUUUUGGAAAAUGAGUAUGAUCAUCUCCAUGAUCUACAUCUAAGAGGGUACGUACCAUAGAUGCAAAGAUAUCCUGGCAAGUAAAGAAAGGUGGAUACAUCCCCAGCAAUAAUAAAGGUGCCCACAAAACCCACUUUCCAGGGGUGAGAGUGGCCCGACUACUGAUCUCCCUCUUGGGGUCAAGUUGCCCGUGAUCCCAGGAAGCAAUAGUUUGUACUGUACAACAAUGUUAAGUGCAAAGAAAGAAGGAAGGAAUCUUACUCUUGAACCAAUACAUUACUUCACUGACAGAAUUAGGAGUUCAUCUUCAUACAACCAAGAACAUUUGAUUUCAUAUGCUGGGUAUGUGAAAUUAAAGC
Non-coding RNA from Manis javanica (Malayan pangolin), 636 nucleotides. The record is from RefSeq and is a predicted model, not a curated record. Lineage: Eukaryota; Metazoa; Chordata; Mammalia; Pholidota; Manidae.